GGGCAUGUAGCUAAACGGUUUAAAGCAACUCGUUGUCUGCGAGAAGAAUGAGGGUUCGAAUCCCUUCAUGCCCGCCA
This 77-nucleotide transfer RNA is filed under the name Acinetobacter sp. Its description in RNAcentral is "tRNA-Asp". It matches the Rfam family "tRNA". Rfam says of the family: Transfer RNA (tRNA) molecules are approximately 80 nucleotides in length. Their secondary structure includes four short double-helical elements and three loops (D, anti-codon, and T loops). The record is from RNAcentral. Lineage: Bacteria; Pseudomonadati; Pseudomonadota; Gammaproteobacteria; Moraxellales; Moraxellaceae.